This 71-nucleotide transfer RNA is filed under the name Bos taurus (domestic cattle). It matches the Rfam family "tRNA". Rfam says of the family: Transfer RNA (tRNA) molecules are approximately 80 nucleotides in length. Their secondary structure includes four short double-helical elements and three loops (D, anti-codon, and T loops). The record is from Rfam by way of RNAcentral. Lineage: Eukaryota; Metazoa; Chordata; Mammalia; Artiodactyla; Bovidae. RNAcentral also lists the same sequence under 5 other names.
CCCUAGCAGCUCAGUUGGUAAAGAAUCUGCCUGCAAUGCAGGAGACCCAGGUUUGAUCCCUGGGUUAGGCA